CACAACUCAGUUUCCACAUCUAUAAAUUGGACCUAAUCAAAGAACCUCCCCAACUGGUAUUAUUGUAAAAUUUACCUAACAAUUGCCUAGUGUAGAGUAGACAUCACGGUACUCCAAUAUAUAUUUGUAUCUUGCCUACAUAGAUUUAUGUGUACACACACAUAUUUUCAUUCUCUUCUUUUCUCCUACACUUAGAGUAACUUGGUAAUUCUGUUAUUUUUUCAAUUCAGAAAUUCAGGUUGCCUGUUCCACUUGUGAGAAAAAUCAAUCUCAAGCUUAGCUGGACAGACAGGCGGGGUUAAUCAGUAUUCCUUUUCUUUAUUUUCUUCCUCCUUAUACUCUCCUGGGCCCUCCCCCAUUUUGUCCCAGUUUCCAUGUUGCCCAACAAGAGGGAGACACCAUCACUGUCUCAGCUCAAGGACUGCCUCUCUCUCCUAGGAGAAAGCAGACUUUUGGGUCAGCUGCCAGCAUCCGCCUCAAAAGUCGAGGACAACUGCCCACUCUAUGCCCUGGUGAUCACGUCCUGCCAACUGGUGGCAGAUGGCGUCUUCCUUGUCUUCCAUGACCAGUCUGUUCCACUCCACCCGCCUUUUCCACUCCCUCCCCCACUUUGGCAAACAGAACAUAGACUUUUAAACGUGGUCAUUUUUUCCAUCAUCCCCUUCAAUGGAAAAGUGUUUUUAAAGCGCAGAUUUUUUUAUUUGGUUUUGGUCUUUGAAUUACAUAAUCACACCACGUGGAGUUGUCUCUGCCGCCAUUGUAACAUUCAACUACCACAUAAAACAUGAAGGAAAAGCACCAGGGCCUGAAAAAGUAGUUAUCUCCUUGGGACACUUCUUUCUUAUCCUACAUUCAUGAAAUAGUGCUGUAAUUUUGUAAAACUAGGCUCCAAAAUGUAACCAGACAUGAAACGAAUUGUUUCCCUCUCAACUUUUAGUCAGUUUCAGUAAUAUUGCCUUUCCUCCGAUUGCAAGGGGAAAAAAUAGUCCACAUCUGGGUAACUGAGGCAGUUCUUUGCCACAAUGCUGGCAACCACCUACCAGCUAUUUGGCAUUAGCCAUGCUCAUGCCUAAUUGAACCAAAUGUAAUCUCUCUCUCUCUCUCUCUAUAUAUAUAUAUAUAUUUCAAAGUCAUACUCAAGGAGCAAGGAGUUUGACACAUUUAAUGACAUCACUUUCAAACUAUUUGCAUUCAGAGUUAUUUCUGGAAAUGAAAACAAAAACCUGUGAAUUUUCUAAACUCUCCCCUUUCUUUAUUUAAUAAGAUGUCAUCAUAGACCUUUUCUAAGAGGUCCCCAUUUUUUUAUAGGACACAAAUAUCCAUCUGUCUUAUGUUGAAGGGACAAAAAUCUCCUAUCUUCUCAGCUUGUCUUCUCAGCUUCUUCUGAAGGAAUAGCAAAAUAGUUAUGUGAAAGGUACCCUGGUUCUUCCAUUUUAGGAGAUGGUGACCUUGGGCAAGUGAUUCACCUCGAAGCUUAGCUUUUCUAGAGCAGCUCAUGUGUUUUAUUGGAA
Molecule: non-coding RNA, 1511 nt
Organism: Callorhinus ursinus (northern fur seal)
Lineage: Eukaryota; Metazoa; Chordata; Mammalia; Carnivora; Otariidae
Source: RefSeq, a predicted model, not a curated record